This 2133-nucleotide unclassified non-coding RNA is filed under the name Hevea brasiliensis (rubber tree). The record is from RNAcentral. Lineage: Eukaryota; Viridiplantae; Streptophyta; Magnoliopsida; Malpighiales; Euphorbiaceae.
GAACAGUAAAAUAAAAGGUUUAGGAUUUUUACCUAAACUUCCUUAGACAUCACACCCAAGGCUCCAUAGGCAUCACACCUAGGGUUGAAUUGCAUCAAACAGCUCGAAUCAUAAUUGUAGAAUUCAUAUUGAUUAAAAACUUCGAAACAAUAUUACAAAUGUUAGUAUUUAUAGACUCAAAAAGUAAUUCUUAUCCUUCAAUGAUUUGGAUUCAAAAAAAGUAAACCUUUAGUAAUCCAAAAAGUAAUCGCAAAAAAGUAAUCCGUAAGGAACAAGAACCCAAGUAAAGACUCCCAUAGAAAAAUCUAGAUCUGUUUAGAAAAUCUGAAAUUACAAAAAUUCCGUGUCUUCUACAAAGUGAAAAUUCUAAAAAUUUUAUAGGCAAUCAAAACAAUACUAGUUAAGCUUGUAUUUAAGUUCCCAACAAUGCAUUUCGCCAUCAAAGUGCCAAAUAAGUUUUGAAUUAGCUUGGGCAUGUCUUUUCUACAUAUGUUUCCAUCAUACUCCAUCAUUUGUUUACGAACCAUAAGUGAAUAAAAAAUAUAUAAGAAAAAGGAAAAACCACAAUCAUGGAUUUCCAAUCCCAAAUUUACAAGGGGAUGGAAAAUGGAGUAACUAUGGUAAAUAAAUGGAUGUGGAGGUGGUUGCACAAUUAACAAAGUCCUGCAAGAGCUGAAGGUAGUAGCCCAUCUUUGAGUGAAGUUUAAUGGUGGAAUGAAGGAGUGCAAUGAGCUAGAUGUUAUAGAAUUCGACCUAAAUGCUAAAGAGGAGAUAUUGUUGAUUAGUGUAUGCUAUUCAAAAAAGAGGUUGGGAUAUGAUUAGUGACGCUAGAAUCAAAUUUCUGAAAAAGCUUUGGACAGUAGAAGAGGGGAAGAAUGACUACAGAUUAGUGUGGAUAAAGGGAAGGAAAUGUUGAGAUUUUAAUCAACUCAAUGUUAAAAAAAUAAAGAUCUUAAAAUUGUGAUUGUGGGGGAAGAAAUUAAGGAAAGGUGAAGUUAUUUUGAUAAGCUCUUUUAUGGAAGCCACAAGGAUAAUCUUGUUGAAUUUAAAUGUCAAAUCUAUUUGGGGUAUUAAUGAGUUUGGAAACUUUAAGAAAAAUGAAGAUAGGAAAACACAUGGCCUUCAUGGGAUUAUUACAAAUGUGACCUCUAAUAUAUAGUUAGUUUUUGUUAUUUUCCCAAUGUUUAAAAUCAAUUUGAGGCCUCAGCAAUUUAAGAAUUUCAAUCAAUGCUAAUGGUCCCAAAUUAACUGAAAAUGAUGUAUACAAAUUGUGAGCAACGAAGUGAUUUGUUCAUCUAAGAAGUAAACAGAUACAAGGAUGCUAAAACUUAUGUGUGAAAGUACAAGAAAUGUCCAGAUAAAUAGUACAAUUGUAUGAUUAUGGAAACAGGAUCCAUUUGAGGAAUAGUGAGGGAUGGAUGAUUGAGAUGUUUAGAUCAGCUCUUGUGAUGUAUCAUUAGAUGUGCUAGUACAGAAGAUUUGACACAUACAAAUUACAAGGUUGACGAAAACAAAAGGUGAUACAAUGUCAAGUUAACCAUAAGGAUUUAGCAUCACUAGAAUUUUUAGAAUGUGCUGAAUGGGGAAAAAGAGAUCUAUACAGUACUUCAACCAGAUUGAGAUUGAGGUGCUGAGUUGAUUGCUAUUAUUGUCAUGCAGUCUGUGUGUGUUUUCUUAAAACUAUUUUCUGAAUCCUUAUAAUAUCUUCUCUUCUUCUAAUCUUCUGUCCUCCUCAAACCAAACACCCCCUCCCCUUGCUUUUUACUACAUUGUGUUGACAAAUUAAGUAUAUGUUUGUCAAACCAUGUACAAAUAGGGCACGGUUCCACAUUCCUUGUUUGACGCAUUCAAAUACCUUUGCCAUAGAAGCAUAUUGCAUUUUAAGCAACCUAUCGUGGUGGUAUCAUCUUGUGGUUCUAUAUUAGUUUUAAUUUCUGGAACUAAAAUUGAUGUGUUUUUCCGUUAGGGUUCUUGUGGUUCUGUUUACAUUUUGUCAUAUUGGACGAGAGCAUUACAUUUAAUUAUCUUGUAUCCUUUGGAAUGUAUAUUUUCUCUUUUCAGAAUAGUUGUCUUCUUCUAUUCAUCUUUAUCUUGCAUAUGACAAGUCUUACCAUAGUUUAUAAAUUUUAUAUG